This 99-nucleotide transfer RNA is filed under the name Thermofilum sp. RNAcentral describes it as "tRNA-OTHER". It matches the Rfam family "tRNA". From Rfam's summary of the family: Transfer RNA (tRNA) molecules are approximately 80 nucleotides in length. Their secondary structure includes four short double-helical elements and three loops (D, anti-codon, and T loops). The record is from RNAcentral. Lineage: Archaea; Thermoproteati; Thermoproteota; Thermoprotei; Thermofilales; Thermofilaceae.
GGGCCCGUGGCCUAGCACGGAAAGGCGCCGUCCCUCGUUAACGGGGGUGCAAGCCUUCGGAGCCGGAGAUCCCGGGUUCGAGUCCCGGCGGGCCCGCCA